CGGCUGAACCAGCAACUUGGAAGAAUGUAUAGCUUUUGCUAGUUUCUCAGAAAAUUGAUAAAUUUUUUUGAGAUAACAUUGAAUAUUCAAAUAAAAUUCUAGGUAAGAUCAUGAUAAUGACAUUUUCUUGCUUAUGUGGCUUGACCCAAUUACGUGCCAGCAGUCGCGGUAAUACGUAAGAGACUAGUGUUAUUCAUCUUUAAUAGGUUUAAAGGGUACCUAGACGGUAAGUAAAGCCAUAAAAGGAACUAAUUUACUAGAGUUACUUGUAAAGGAGCCCUAAGGUACUAGUGGUGGAGAGAUUUAAUUCUUUGAUACCUGUGUCUGAAUAGGACAAAGAUGGCACGAUUUUAGUGAAGACAUCUCCUUAUGGGAUAACUGACGUUGAGGGACGAAGGCGUCAUAUAGCAAACAGGAUUAGAUACCCUAUUAGUUGACUGCAGACAAUGAUGAGUGUUAUAGAUCAGAUAUUGAUUUUUUCUAUAAACGAUAGUGUAAGCACUCCACCUCAAGAGUAAUUUGGCAACAUUGGAACUGAAAUCAUUAGACCGUGUCUGAGAUCAGUAGUGAAGUAUGUUGUUUAAUUCGAUAAUCCGCGAAAAACCUUACCACAAACAAAUUUAAUUAAGCUGACUAGUUUAACGACUUAUGAUUGGUAUACAGUGAAUAUGUACAUUUUAUAAUGUAUUUACAAGUGUUGCACGGCUGUCUUCAGUUGAUGUCGUGAGAUCAGGUUAACUCCGUAUAAUUAACGUAGACCCUUGCUUUAUUUUUUAUAUAAAGCAGUUCUCCAGUAUAAUGGAUUAGAUAAUAGGGAGUAAGACAAGCCCUCAUG
This 835-nucleotide ribosomal RNA is filed under the name Byssoloma sp. RNAcentral's name for it is "SSU rRNA". It matches the Rfam family "Bacterial small subunit ribosomal RNA", at positions 1 to 1197 of the family's 1533-position model. Lineage: Eukaryota; Fungi; Ascomycota; Lecanoromycetes; Lecanorales; Pilocarpaceae. The record is from RNAcentral.